Molecule: long non-coding RNA, 1010 nt
Filed under: Ananas comosus (pineapple)
Lineage: Eukaryota; Viridiplantae; Streptophyta; Magnoliopsida; Poales; Bromeliaceae
Description: long non-coding RNA (ACOM_LNC040979)
Source: RNAcentral
GGACAAGGCAGGCUCUGUUCGUUCGGCGUCUGUUCGACGCUCUCGAACCGGCCAAAAGGAUCGGGCUCGGGGCGUGACAUAAACAUUUUUGUAUAAGUUAUAUUUUUAUUCCCUCAUUUUCUAUAUAAGCUAAGAUACUUAUCCCUUCAAGAAAAUAAAGACCUUUUUAGAUCAUAUAUCAAUCUAAUUUUAUAAACAUCUUAUAUCAGUUAAUAAAAAGAGUCAUGAAAGUAGAAAAAAAGUAAGCAUAUGAAAAGUUAUAUAAUAAAUUUUUAAGAGACAAAAAGAUAUACAACCUAACACAACCAAAUACAGUAAAUAUAAUACAGAACUUUACUUUCGGAAAAAAAAAUAUAAAAAACAAAGGAUAGAAAAAGAAAAAACAAUAAAUCUUUAACAUAACAAACAUAUUAGUUUGAAUACCAUGCAAAUAAAAAAAAACUUAAAAAAACUGAAUAAAACUAUCUAAGAAAUUUCAACGAUACAACAUAAAGAAUACAUAAAUCUUUUAAAAUAACUCCUGAAAUUUGAAGGAAAGCUCGAUUUGAUGAAGAUGACAACGCUAAGCUUGGCGAUGCAGCAUGCAAACUUAUACUCUAUCCACAUAACGUGCUUGAUCUUAGCCUCGGAGCUCAUGGAGGAGGAAAAGAAAGUAGAAAAGAAGAGAUGAUUUACUGUUUAGAUUAGGAUUAAAGUAGGUGAACCACUAAUUAGACGUUAUGUUUGUAGGAAAGGUGAAGGGUUGGACUAAGGUGAGCGAACUAUUAAUUAGAUGUUAUAGGUGCAGGGAAGUCGACGUUAUGUGUAUAGGAAAGAUGAAGGGUUGGGUUAAGGUUAGUGGAUAGGUUAGUGGAUUAUUAAUUAGACGUUAUAGGUGAAGGGAAGGCAAAGAGUUGGUUUCGCUGAAGGAAGGAAACUCCACCACGUGGCUUUUUUUUGGGGGAAUAAUGUAUAGGUAUAGAUUUUGACAUGCUAGAAUUUAUGAGAAUAUAAUAUAUACAUGUUAUGUA